Molecule: long non-coding RNA, 2120 nt
Organism: Athalia rosae (coleseed sawfly)
Lineage: Eukaryota; Metazoa; Arthropoda; Insecta; Hymenoptera; Athaliidae
Exons: 2
Source: RefSeq, a predicted model, not a curated record
GUUGACGCGAACGCGGCAUAAGUUCCUUCCUGUGCUUUUUACGAUGGGUUAUAGAAGCGGGAAAACUUGGAACUAACACAACACACUAUAGAAAAACCACAAAACUCUGAAUGGUGGCGCCCUUCAAUAGUCAGGGGAAAAAACUCCAAACGAAAAGGGUGAAAGGGAAGAAAAAAAAAUAGAAAAUAAUAAGAUAAAAAAAGAAACUAAGGUUGAUUUAGAGGAAUAAAACGAUAUGUGGCCCGCGCGGAGGCUAUAAAAUUGGAUCACUGCUAGCAUCAGCUAAAAAUGUGCAGAUACGUUACUAACACUAGAAUGCAACCCCAGCACUUGGGCACAUGUUGUGCCAACUCAGCGUGAAAUAUAUAUAAAGCUCGUAUCAUCAUCUCAAAGAAAAUGCAUAGAACAUUUAUUAGUGCUUAUUCAACACCGAGGAAAGAGACAAAAACAAACAAAACAAAAAUUGAUAAGAAGAAAACUAUAAUUGUGUCUAGUCUUAAUGAAAUGACGAUGCAGCGCCCUAUACGUAUGUAUGUGUAAAUAGAUACACCUCGAGAUACACCCCAAAUUUUCAACCCUUAUAACCUUGUCAUUUUAAAAACUUGAUGUGCAACAGAGUUUUCAGACUUAAGGACCGAAGUAGGGGAGUUUGAGAGAAAGUAGUAGGGGAAAGAGAAGUAGUAGUCGUAGGAGGGGGGGGAGGUGAGGGAAGGAGGAGGAAGAGGAGUACGGGCGAAGUUAUCCAAUUAUUGUCUAACCUGGGAGCAACUUUACCGGGUAAGCUUGAGAGUGAGGAGGAAAGCUGUAGCAGUAGCAGCAGCAGCAACCAGUAAGUGAAGGUUUGGUGUUGGACGAAGCGAGAGCUAUACAUAGAAAGUUGGCGAGGGUAAAACUCACCCCCCUGUACAAUCGAGGCACGAUAAAGUAAAGUUUGUUUCAAAACUCGACGCAGGGGUGCCCUUCUCCGACUGUUAUUGGUGAAACGUGAGAUUUAAAUUAUCCUUAAAUCUGGACCACUGUCGGGGGAGGCAAAGGGGGUACGAGGAGAGCACGAAAGAGGAAAGGAAAGAUUGGAAGGAGGGAGAAGCGCUCGGUUAGCAAACCUGUAAUCAAUGAUGGUCUCGUUUGACAAUUGGGUCGAUUCCAUUCGGAAUGUUUCGCCAAGUAUAAGCGUGCAGCUUGCUACCGCUGCUGUUGCUGUUGCUCUUGCUGACGUCCUCAACUCAUCGUAUAAAUAUGCAUAUUUACGUAUAUAAAAUAGAUGUGUAAUUCAUUGCACUGUAUAUAAUCACAAUUACUAGAAAGAGAACAUAUACUAUAGCAUUAUGUAGGCGUUACGUUUCAUAUACGUAUAUUAAAACCGUAAUACAAAGACCCGUCCAUGUAGGUAUAGAUAUGCAUAAAUGUACUACAUAAGUAAGGUGUGAAUAUGACCGCGCGAUUACGUGUCUGACUUUAAUAAAGUUAACAAAUCUCACGUAGUGUUACAUUUCUUAUUUACAUAUUACAAAGGAAAAAAACAAGAGGGAAAAAACCGACGAUACCGAUUAGUUAGAUACUCGCUAGAUUUUAAAUAAUUAAUACAAGACGCAAAUUUUUUCACUUUUUUUUCUGAAUUUGACCAUUUUAUGAUGAAUGACCAACCGAUAAAUUAGAAAAUGUACGGAAUUAGGUUAGAGAUAUAUCAUCCACAACGAUUGCAUGUAAUACGUACCUGUGUAACACUAUACGUGUAUAAAACGUUCGAACACCUUGAUUGUCUUUCAAGUAAUUUAUGAAACUCGUUACAACAGAUAAGCCAUAUUUGACACGGGUAUAAAAUGUGAAGAAACGCAUUUACUGCGAAAAGUGUUGAAAGAUAUAUUUAUAUAUAAUAUAAUAAAUAUAAAAGUUGUUUCUCGCGUGCUGCACCACUUGAGCGGCAGCCCCUGGCUAUAUAGCUUUGCAAAGUUACUUUCCAUGUUGUAAUACAAGUCAACCCCCAAAUAGAAAAAAGAAAAAAUAGUUCGAAGUUGAGAACCUCUUGACGAAAAAUAGUUUUCGCAGUCCAAGAACUUCUACUUCUUCGUCGUACCCGCUGCAACUUUAGCUUCACUUUUACAAACUUUAUAAGUUUUUUC